Molecule: transfer RNA, 74 nt
Filed under: Candidatus Omnitrophota bacterium
Lineage: Bacteria; Pseudomonadati; Candidatus Omnitrophota
Description: Candidatus Omnitrophica bacterium (aquatic metagenome) tRNA-Gly
Rfam family: tRNA
About the family: Transfer RNA (tRNA) molecules are approximately 80 nucleotides in length. Their secondary structure includes four short double-helical elements and three loops (D, anti-codon, and T loops).
Source: RNAcentral
GCGGGUGUAGUUCAGUGGUAGAACACUAGCUUCCCAAGCUAGAUAUGGCGGUUCGAUUCCGCUCACCCGCUCCA